GGUUCUGAUAGCACAGCAGCACUCAGCAGGCUCAUCGCUUUCUCUGACCUACAGUACUGACAUCCAAACUGAAAGGACUACGUUUAAGUGUCAAAGAGAUUCCGAGCCAUCUGCUGCCUCACCAGCUGCUCUCGGUGCAGGAUGAAACUUAUCUCAAUUCAGGAACCUGGGCCUCAGGCAGAGGGGUGGAAGGAAAUCGCUGACCUCACAAGCGCUGUCUGCAGGAUGCGCGCCCAGACUGGUACAGACGUUGGAAAUUGGACGAAUCUCUUGUGGUGUCUCCCACUUUGGUCAACACAAGCAGAGUGUUUCCCCAGUGGUGCAGUGAGAAAGACUUGGAUCAUCCCUGUUUGUCCCAUGCAGUGGCUCAUCAGAUGUUUCUAG
This 384-nucleotide long non-coding RNA is filed under the name Chrysolophus pictus (golden pheasant). Its description in RNAcentral is "lncRNA (ENSCPIG00010014334.1)". The record is from RNAcentral. Lineage: Eukaryota; Metazoa; Chordata; Aves; Galliformes; Phasianidae.